CUAUACUGCAGUCGAACGCACGAAGUUGAAGAGCUUGCUCUUUAACCAAGUGAGUGGCGGACGGGUGAGUAACACGUGGGUAACCUGCCCAUUAGAGGGGGAUAACAUUCGGAAACGGAUGCUAAUACCGCAUAGUUUCAGGAAUCGCAUGAUUCUUGAAGGAAAGGUGGCUUCGGCUACCACUAAUGGAUGGACCCGCGGCGUAUUAGCUAGUUGGUGAGGUAAUGGCUCACCAAGGCAAUGAUACGUAGCCGACCUGAGAGGGUGAUCGGCCACACUGGGACUGAGACACGGCCCAGACUCCUACGGGAGGCAGCAGUAGGGAAUCUUCCGCAAUGGACGAAAGUCUGACGGAGCAACGCCGCGUGAGUGAAGAAGGUUUUCGGAUCGUAAAACUCUGUUGUUAAAGAAGAACAAGGAUGAGAGUAACUGCUCAUCCCCUGACGGUAUUUAACCAGAAAGCCACGGCUAACUACGUGCCAGCAGCCGCGGUAAUACGUAGGUGGCAAGCGUUGUCCGGAUUUAUUGGGCGUAAAGCGAGCGCAGGCGGUUCUUUAAGUCUGAUGUGAAAGCCCCCGGCUCAACCGGGGAGGGUCAUUGGAAACUGGAGAACUUGAGUGCAGAAGAGGAGAGUGGAAUUCCACGUGUAGCGGUGAAAUGCGUAGAUAUGUGGAGGAACACCAGUGGCGAAGGCGACUCUCUGGUCUGUAACUGACGCUGAGGCUCGAAAGCGUGGGGAGCAAACAGGAUUAGU
RNAcentral lists this ribosomal RNA (754 nucleotides) under Carnobacterium maltaromaticum. RNAcentral's name for it is "bacterial SSU rRNA". It matches the Rfam family "Bacterial small subunit ribosomal RNA", at positions 49 to 782 of the family's 1533-position model. Lineage: Bacteria; Bacillati; Bacillota; Bacilli; Lactobacillales; Carnobacteriaceae. The record is from RNAcentral.